RNAcentral lists this ribosomal RNA (301 nucleotides) under uncultured bacterium. RNAcentral describes it as "partial 16S ribosomal RNA". It matches the Rfam family "Bacterial small subunit ribosomal RNA", at positions 509 to 807 of the family's 1533-position model. The record is from RNAcentral.
CAGUCGCCGCGGGAAUACGGAGGGGGCUAGCGUUGUUCGGAAUUACUGGGCGUAAAGCGCACGUAGGCGGCUUGGUAAGUUAGAGGUGAAAGCCCGGAGCUCAACUCCGGAAUUGCCUUUAAGACUGCCGAGCUAGUAGGUGAGAGAGGUAAGUGGAAUUCCGAGUGUAGAGGUGAAAUUCGUAGAUAUUCGGAAGAACACCAGUGGCGAAGGCGGCUUACUGGCUCAUUCUAGACGCUGAGGUGCGAAAGCGUGGGGAGCAAACAGGAUUAGAUACCCCAGUAGUCCCUGUCUCUUAUAC